RNAcentral lists this ribosomal RNA (446 nucleotides) under uncultured bacterium. Its description in RNAcentral is "partial 16S ribosomal RNA". It matches the Rfam family "Bacterial small subunit ribosomal RNA", at positions 338 to 795 of the family's 1533-position model. The record is from RNAcentral.
CCUACGGGUGGCAGCAGUCGAGAAUCAUUCACAAUGGGGGAAACCCUGAUGGUGCGACGCCGCGUGGGGGAAUGAAGGUCUUCGGAUUGUAAACCCCUGUCAUGUGGGAGCAAAUUAAAAAGAUAGUACCACAAGAGGAAGAGACGGCUAACUCUGUGCCAGCAGCCGCGGUAAUACAGAGGUCUCAAGCGUUGUUCGGAAUCACUGGUCGUAAAGCGUGCGUAGGCUGUUUCGUAAGUCGUGUGUGAAAGGCGCGGGCUCAACCGGCGGACGGCACAUGAUACUGCGAGACUAGAGUACUGGUGGGGGAAGCGGAAUUCGCGGUGUAGCAGUGAAAUGCGUAGAUAUCGAGAGGAACACUCGUGGCGAAGGCGGGUUCCUGGACAUUCACUGACGCUGAGGCACGAAGGCGAGGGGAGCGAAAGGGAUUAGAUACCCCUGUAGUC